This 427-nucleotide ribosomal RNA is filed under the name uncultured prokaryote. RNAcentral's name for it is "bacterial SSU rRNA". It matches the Rfam family "Bacterial small subunit ribosomal RNA", at positions 355 to 774 of the family's 1533-position model. The record is from RNAcentral.
UAGGGAAUAUUGGUCAAUGGGCGAAAGCCUGAACCAGCCAUGCCGCGUGAGUGAUGAAGGCCUUCGGGUCGUAAAACUCUUUUCUGAGGGAAGAACAUCCUGUGUAGGAAAUGACGCAAGCUUGACGGUACCUCAGGAAUAAGCAACGGCUAACUCCGUGCCAGCAGCCGCGGUAAUACGGAGGUUGCAAGCGUGGUUCGGAAUAACUGGGAGUAAAGGGAGCGCAGGCGGUUAGGUAAGUUCAAAGUGAAAGCACGCGGCUUAACCUCGGAAGUGCUUUGGAUACUGCCUUACUCGAGUUCGUGAGAGGAAAGCUGAAGUCCAGGUGUAGCGGUGAAAUGCGUAGAUAUCUGGAGGAAAACCGGUGGCGAAGGCGGCUGUAUGGCGCGAUACUGACGCUGAGGCUCGAAAGCAUGGGGAGCGAACA